RNAcentral lists this ribosomal RNA (492 nucleotides) under Microdrillia cf. optima MNHN 17887. RNAcentral describes it as "partial 16S ribosomal RNA". It matches the Rfam family "Bacterial large subunit ribosomal RNA", at positions 1845 to 2598 of the family's 2925-position model. Lineage: Eukaryota; Metazoa; Mollusca; Gastropoda; Neogastropoda; Conidae. The record is from RNAcentral.
AUAUGAAGUCGGACCUGCCCAGUGAUUAAAUUUAACGGCCGCGGUACUCUGACCGUGCAAAGGUAGCAUAAUCAUUUGCCUUAUAAUUGAAGGCUAGAAUGAAUGGUUUGACAAGAAUAUAACUGUCUCUUUAUAAUUUAGUAGAAUUUUAUUUUUAGAUGAAAAAGUCUUGAUUAAAUUAAAAGACAAGAAGACCCUAUCGAGCUUUAAAAAAAUUAGUAAAAUAACAUAUUAAUUGGAUUAGAAAAUAAGUUACUAAAAAUUUUGGUUGGGGCAACCAAGGAGCAAAAAAAUCCUCCUUUAUUAUUAUUAAACAUUUCUAGUAUUGAUCCAAAAUUUUUGAUUAAAGAAAUUAGUUACCGUAGGGAUAACAGCAUUAUCUUUUUUAAGAGUUCUAAUCGAAAAAAAGGUUUGUGACCUCGAUGUUGGACCAGAAUAUCCUAAAGAUGCAGAAGUCUUUAAGGGUUGGUCUGUUCGACCAUUAAAAUUCUA